This 344-nucleotide long non-coding RNA is filed under the name Mytilus galloprovincialis (Mediterranean mussel). Lineage: Eukaryota; Metazoa; Mollusca; Bivalvia; Mytilida; Mytilidae. The record is from RNAcentral.
CCUAUUGACAUCAAAAGGAAAAUUAUAAAUCCCUGUAGAUGUUGGAAAUCACAUAUUUCCAUGUUUAAAAUGUCGACAUUCCAGUUACUCGAAAUUUAAAAUUAAAGUGACAAAUUAUCCUACAGUAUCAGUAAAUAACAGUUAAUCACAAAAUAAUCCAAUUUUCUAUCAGUCCAUGUGCUCUUUCUACUUUACAUCUUGUAAGUACAAAAUAAAACAAAUAAUAAAUCCCAUGUAAGUUAUACAGUAAUAUUGAUUAUGUCAACACAAUUAAUUAAGGCACAAAUUACUCAAAAAUGUGAAUCAAAGUAACUCAAAAUAUUUUUGUUGUUCUCCUAAGCCAG